AUCCCGUACGAUCACCGAAGUUAAGCAACAUCGAGUCUGGUCAGUAUUUAGAUGAGUGACCGCUAGGGAAUGUCACCUGCUGUAGG
Molecule: non-coding RNA, 86 nt
Organism: Acanthosepion pharaonis
Lineage: Eukaryota; Metazoa; Mollusca; Cephalopoda; Sepiida; Sepiidae
Source: the annotation of a GenBank genome assembly